CGUGAUUUGCAAUUUUGUAAAAGGCUCCUUGUGUUUGCACAGAAUAUCGCAUAUGUCCUCUGACCGCCUGACAUUCCAUUGUGUUUCUUACGUAUAACCCCUCGUAUUCUAGAAAAAUAUAACGCGAAGAAGAGAAAAUUCCAUUUCUAAGGCUAGCGCUGUAAACACGAAAACCAUAGGGGGUUUUCUACAAAACAUACCCUCCCCAUUUCCCUCACCUCAGUGCCGCCGCCACACUCGCCCAGCGGCGGAUCCGGCCGCGCACGGACGCCGCGCCAUCGCCGCCCGUCAGAGCCAGCGGGGAGAGGCUGGCCGUGCGAAGGAAGGAAGGAUGGGGAGGGAAGGCAGGGGGUGGGGCAGUGGUGGUGAUGCCGCCGCCGCCACACCCGCCAUGACCUCCCCAUCUACUCCGUCCGUGCUCUUCCCAGCGCCGCCGUCCGCCUCCCCCCUCCACGGCUGUGUGCCAUCUCCUGCCGCCGCCGUGCGCCAUCCUCCCGCCGUUGCCGCCUCCCCCUAUCGUCACAUCGCCGGGCGCCGCCCUCCUCGCCGGCGGAUCCGUCCUCCGCUGGCGGCCGCGUGCACCGGCCGUCGUCCACCGUGCGGAUGGCGCUGCGGGAGGACGGGCCAUCCGUGGCCAUCGUGGGCGCAACGAGCGUUGUCGGCCAGGACUUCCUCCGCGUGCCGUCCGCCCGCCCCCAGUCGCUGCCGUCGUCGUCCACCCUCCAUCCGCCGCCGCCUACCUCGUCCGCCCUCCCCCCGCUCUCCUCUACGGCGAGACGUCCGCGCUGCUCGACGCGUGGCGCCUCCUCCGCACCGCAGACUGGCGCGCCUGCGCGGCCGCCGUCACCGUCCGCCGCGCCGCCGCUGGGCGCGCGCCGCGCACCGUCGACCAGUGCAAGAAUCGCUUGGAUUACCUCAAGAAGCGCCUCAAGGCCGAGCGCUCCAGGUCCAAGGGGACCCCGGCCCCGCCGCCACCGCCUCCCUCGGUCGACCGCCUCCGUGCGCUCCUCCGCCUCGCCCCCUCCAUUCUCCCUGGAUUCACUCCCCGGGGCGGCGCCAUACCAAAGGUGGGAGAGGAUGCCCCGUUCCUGGCCGUCGGUGCUGAAGCGGCCGAGGACGGCGGUGGCGUUGCUACCGUUGAGCUCCUCCACGGGGCAUCAGCACGGAGACGGAAGGACAUCGUGCACGGAGGUGGCGGCGGCGCUGGAUAGGCUCGCCGGAACAUACGAGCGGGUGGAGGUGGCGAAGCAGGAGGUGACGCGGCUGGAGGAGCGACGCCUGGAGGCCAUGCCCGACCUCGAGAUCGAGCGCAUGCGGAUUCUCGUCCGCGUCGCCAUCUCCGCCUCCGCCGUGGCCGACGCCGCCACUGCCACGGCGGCGUCCUCUAAUUGAGGAACUAGGACAGUAGACUGGCCAUGGUAGCCAUCCAGAUUCCAGUCUACUUUUUUCAAGAGACAAUUGUAGUGUGGAGAAGGCAAUUGACGUGAUGCCCCGGCCAAAAUUUACAUCGGUUUAGAUUACAGGGAAAGGUUAGCCAGAUAUAAGACAAUACAUGGUGAGAUUUUUUUUUUCUUUUUAGUUCACUGAUAGCAGGUUAGCAGCAAUGCAAGAUGAGAGACUUGAUUUCCUGAACUGAACAUAUCAUCUGAUUUAGAGUCAGUUAAUGGUUAGCUAUUGCUGUAAUCCCCUCUUGUAUUGAAUACAACAGCAUGCCCCAAAGCAUAAGCAAGCCGCUCUGAAAAGGGCAAACUGCAAGCGUUCUGCAAUGCCUCCAAAACCAGAAUCUGCAUAUCCAAAUGGUGCCCAGACCAAGCCACCAGUUAGGUUGACAACUGGUGCACUCCUCUGACCAUAACUGAACUCGAGUAGAUGAUAUCAUGAUAUUGCUGAUUAAAAACAGUGGCACUCUCAAUUGUGGCUAGGAACAAUAAAGGUUGGCGGAUGGGAGCAGGACCACUGGAUGUGUUUCGUGUGGACUCCGGCCCCACGCUCGCCCUCCCUCCUGCACUUUCCUCUCCUCCUCUCCUCUCUGGCGGCAGAAACAGCUCAGGAUGGCGCGGCUCGAGGCGACGACAGUAGAGCGGUGGGGCUGCACGCGUCUACAAGUUAUGAAAUGGCCGUAUCUUUUUUUAAGGAAAGCAAGAAAGGUCCAUUCAAAGAAACAAAAUAUCAUUUUCAUGCUAAUUAGAGUUUAUGUUUUUGGGGAGUUUAAUUAUUUAUUUUCAAUAGCAAUGUUAAAUCAUAGUUGGAUGUGCAACAUGUAGGCGAGGUAUCGUGAGUCUUGUGGUAGAUACAUAUAUAUUUAAGGGUUAAUUUAAUACAUGCCAUUAAAAAUUUGCCGGUUUCAAAAUAUACCACUAACAUUCAUAUAUUUGGAAAUAUACCAUUAUAAUUUUACACAUUCAAAAGAUACCACAACUUACUCCUUGGAUACAUUUCCAAAAAAAAAAAAAA
Oryza sativa Japonica Group (Japanese rice) is the source of this 2454-nucleotide non-coding RNA. The record is from RefSeq and is a predicted model, not a curated record. Lineage: Eukaryota; Viridiplantae; Streptophyta; Magnoliopsida; Poales; Poaceae.